RNAcentral lists this ribosomal RNA (390 nucleotides) under uncultured bacterium. RNAcentral's name for it is "bacterial SSU rRNA". It matches the Rfam family "Bacterial small subunit ribosomal RNA", at positions 29 to 409 of the family's 1533-position model. The record is from RNAcentral.
AAUGAACGCUGGCGGCGCGCCUAAUACAUGCAAGUCGAGCGAGAAGACGUAGCAAUACGUUUGUAAAGCGGCGAACGGGUGAGGAAUACAUGGGUAACCUACCCUAGAGUGGGGAAUAACUAGCCGAAAGGUUAGCUAAUACCGCGUACGCUCCUUGGACUUCGGUUCAGGGAGGAAAGCGAUACCGAGGGUAUCGCGCUCUUGGAUGGGCUCAUGUCCUAUCAGCUUGUUGGUGAGGUAACGGCUCACCAAGGCUUCGACGGGUAGCUGGUCUGAGAGGACGAUCAGCCACACUGGCACUGCGACACGGGCCAGACUCCUACGGGAGGCAGCAGUAAGGAAUAUUGCGCAAUGGGCGAAAGCCUGACGCAGCGACGCCGCGUGGGGGAU